GGGUUGUGAGGUUAAGCGACUAAGCGUACACGGUGGAUGCCCUGGCAGUCAGAGGCGAUGAAGGACGUGCUAAUCUGCGAUAAGCGUCGGUAAGGUGAUAUGAACCGUUAUAACCGGCGAUUUCCGAAUGGGGAAACCCAGUGUGAUUCGUCACACUAUCAUUAACUGAAUCCAUAGGUUAAUGAGGCGAACCGGGGGAACUGAAACAUCUAAGUACCCCGAGGAAAAGAAAUCAACCGAGAUUCCCCCAGUAGCGGCGAGCGAACGGGGAGCAGCCCAGAGCCUGAAUCAGUGUGUGUGUUAGUGGAAGCGUCUGGAAAGGCGCGCGAUACAGGGUGACAGCCCCGUACACAAAAAUGCACAUGCUGUGAGCUCGAUGAGUAGGGCGGGACACGUGGUAUCCUGUCUGAAUAUGGGGGGACCAUCCUCCAAGGCUAAAUACUCCUGACUGACCGAUAGUGAACCAGUACCGUGAGGGAAAGGCGAAAAGAACCCCGGCGAGGGGAGUGAAAAAGAACCUGAAACCGUGUACGUACAAGCAGUGGGAGCACGCUUAGGCGUGUGACUGCGUACCUUUUGUAUAAUGGGUCAGCGACUUAUAUUCUGUAGCAAGGUUAACCGAAUAGGGGAGCCGAAGGGAAACCGAGUCUUAACUGGGCGUUAAGUUGCAGGGUAUAGACCCGAAACCCGGUGAUCUAGCCAUGGGCAGGUUGAAGGUUGGGUAACACUAACUGGAGGACCGAACCGACUAAUGUUGAAAAAUUAGCGGAUGACUUGUGGCUGGGGGUGAAAGGCCAAUCAAACCGGGAGAUAGCUGGUUCUCCCCGAAAGCUAUUUAGGUAGCGCCUCGUGAAUUCAUCUCCGGGGGUAGAGCACUGUUUCGGCAAGGGGGUCAUCCCGACUUACCAACCCGAUGCAAACUGCGAAUACCGGAGAAUGUUAUCACGGGAGACACACGGCGGGUGCUAACGUCCGUCGUGAAGAGGGAAACAACCCAGACCGCCAGCUAAGGUCCCAAAGUCAUGGUUAAGUGGGAAACGAUGUGGGAAGGCCCAGACAGCCAGGAUGUUGGCUUAGAAGCAGCCAUCAUUUAAAGAAAGCGUAAUAGCUCACUGGUCGAGUCGGCCUGCGCGGAAGAUGUAACGGGGCUAAACCAUGCACCGAAGCUGCGGCAGCGACGCUGAUGCGUUGUUGGGUAGGGGAGCGUUCUGUAAGCCUGCGAAGGUGUGCUGUGAGGCAUGCUGGAGGUAUCAGAAGUGCGAAUGCUGACAUAAGUAACGAUAAAGCGGGUGAAAAGCCCGCUCGCCGGAAGACCAAGGGUUCCUGUCCAACGUUAAUCGGGGCAGGGUGAGUCGACCCCUAAGGCGAGGCCGAAAGGCGUAGUCGAUGGGAAACAGGUUAAUAUUCCUGUACUUGGUGUUACUGCGAAGGGGGGACGGAGAAGGCUAUGUUGGCCGGGCGACGGUUGUCCCGGUUUAAGCGUGUAGGCUGGUUUUCCAGGCAAAUCCGGAAAAUCAAGGCUGAGGCGUGAUGACGAGGCACUACGGUGCUGAAGCAACAAAUGCCCUGCUUCCAGGAAAAGCCUCUAAGCAUCAGGUAACAUCAAAUCGUACCCCAAACCGACACAGGUGGUCAGGUAGAGAAUACCAAGGCGCUUGAGAGAACUCGGGUGAAGGAACUAGGCAAAAUGGUGCCGUAACUUCGGGAGAAGGCACGCUGAUAUGUAGGUGAAGUCCCUCGCGGAUGGAGCUGAAAUCAGUCGAAGAUACCAGCUGGCUGCAACUGUUUAUUAAAAACACAGCACUGUGCAAACACGAAAGUGGACGUAUACGGUGUGACGCCUGCCCGGUGCCGGAAGGUUAAUUGAUGGGGUUAGCGCAAGCGAAGCUCUUGAUCGAAGCCCCGGUAAACGGCGGCCGUAACUAUAACGGUCCUAAGGUAGCGAAAUUCCUUGUCGGGUAAGUUCCGACCUGCACGAAUGGCGUAAUGAUGGCCAGGCUGUCUCCACCCGAGACUCAGUGAAAUUGAACUCGCUGUGAAGAUGCAGUGUACCCGCGGCAAGACGGAAAGACCCCGUGAACCUUUACUAUAGCUUGACACUGAACAUUGAGCCUUGAUGUGUAGGAUAGGUGGGAGGCUUUGAAGUGUGGACGCCAGUCUGCAUGGAGCCGACCUUGAAAUACCACCCUUUAAUGUUUGAUGUUCUAACGUUGACCCGUAAUCCGGGUUGCGGACAGUGUCUGGUGGGUAGUUUGACUGGGGCGGUCUCCUCCUAAAGAGUAACGGAGGAGCACGAAGGUUGGCUAAUCCUGGUCGGACAUCAGGAGGUUAGUGCAAUGGCAUAAGCCAGCUUGACUGCGAGCGUGACGGCGCGAGCAGGUGCGAAAGCAGGUCAUAGUGAUCCGGUGGUUCUGAAUGGAAGGGCCAUCGCUCAACGGAUAAAAGGUACUCCGGGGAUAACAGGCUGAUACCGCCCAAGAGUUCAUAUCGACGGCGGUGUUUGGCACCUCGAUGUCGGCUCAUCACAUCCUGGGGCUGAAGUAGGUCCCAAGGGUAUGGCUGUUCGCCAUUUAAAGUGGUACGCGAGCUGGGUUUAGAACGUCGUGAGACAGUUCGGUCCCUAUCUGCCGUGGGCGCUGGAGAACUGAGGGGGGCUGCUCCUAGUACGAGAGGACCGGAGUGGACGCAUCACUGGUGUUCGGGUUGUCAUGCCAAUGGCACUGCCCGGUAGCUAAAUGCGGAAGAGAUAAGUGCUGAAAGCAUCUAAGCACGAAACUUGCCCCGAGAUGAGUUCUCCCUGACCCUUUAAGGGUCCUGAAGGAACGUUGAAGACGACGACGUUGAUAGGCCGGGUGUGUAAGCGCAGCGAUGCGUUGAGCUAACCGGUACUAAUGAACCGUGAGGCUUAACCUUACAACGCCGAAGCUGUU
RNAcentral lists this ribosomal RNA (2930 nucleotides) under Escherichia coli. RNAcentral's name for it is "23S ribosomal RNA". It matches the Rfam family "Bacterial large subunit ribosomal RNA". Lineage: Bacteria; Pseudomonadati; Pseudomonadota; Gammaproteobacteria; Enterobacterales; Enterobacteriaceae. The record is from RNAcentral.